This 83-nucleotide non-coding RNA is filed under the name human gut metagenome. RNAcentral's name for it is "Cyclic di-GMP-I riboswitch". It matches the Rfam family "c-di-GMP-I riboswitch aptamer". Rfam says of the family: GEMM was predicted in a large-scale screen for bacterial structured RNA regulatory elements. Genes associated with GEMM are involved in a diverse array of functions, including chemotaxis regulation, signal transduction, secretion and chitin. The record is from RNAcentral.
ACGACAAAGGCAAACCCCGUGAAAGCGGGCGACGCAAAGCUACAGGGCCUAAGGGCGAAAGCCUACGGCUGCCAGUUGCCGAA